GUGCAGCAGUCGCGCAACCUCUGCAAUACGCGAAAGCGUGACAGGGCUACCCCGAGUGCCGUCCGCUGAGGAUGGCUUUUCUCCGGUGUAGUAAGCCGGAGGAAUAAGGAGAGGGCAAGUCUGGUGUCAGCCGCCGCGGUAAUACCAGCUCUCCGAGUGGUAGGGACGAUUAUUGGGCCUAAAGCGUCCGUAGCCGGCCAAGCAAGUUUCCCGUUAAAUCCAGCGAUCCAAUCGUUGGACUGCGGGAAAUACUGUUUGGCUAGGGGGCGAGAGAGGCCAACGGUAUUCCCGGGGUAGGGGUGAAAUCCCAUAAUCCCGGGAGGACCACCAGUGGCGAAGGCUGUUGGCUAGAACGCGCUCGACGGUGAGGGACGAAAGCUGGGGGAGCGAACCGGAUUAGAUACCCGGGUAGUCC
RNAcentral lists this ribosomal RNA (415 nucleotides) under uncultured crenarchaeote. Its description in RNAcentral is "partial 16S ribosomal RNA". It matches the Rfam family "Archaeal small subunit ribosomal RNA", at positions 330 to 747 of the family's 1478-position model. Lineage: Archaea; Thermoproteati; Thermoproteota. The record is from RNAcentral.